UGGUAGCAUUUCUAAGUGGUCGUAGACCUCGUGAUAGUGAAUUUUUGUGGUGGUACUUCAAAUUCAUACAAGUGUAGUUGUAUACCAGGGGUGUGCAUUUUAAGACCUGGACCGGAAAACCAACCGGGACCGGACCGUAGGAUUUUGGGUCGGUCCUUAGAAAUGAGCAAUUUUGGGUUUCCGGUCCGGUCCGAUUAAAACUCGGAAUAUUCCGGCCUGGACUGGAAACCCUGAAAAAGUUUGUUUUUUUACAAUUUUUAUUUUUAAUUUCCCAAAAACCCUAAGAUUCAAUCAGACAAUCAAUCACGCCUCUUUCCUCUUCUCACUCUCUUUCCUCCUCUGCUCCACGCCUCCGUGGCUCCGCACCCGAUCUCAACCACGGCACCGCCUUCCUCUUUGACUUCCAACCUCCUUUUCGGUUUUUUUUUGUUUAAUUAAAAUCAAUUUAAACACUCCUCCGUUUGUUGUAACCUGCAUCUCCGAUCACUCCAGCCGUCGCCGCCUCACGGCCCUCACCGGAAGUCAGUCCUGUUCGAAAGUCAGAGUAUUACCAUUCAAUUGUUCAACAACGGAUUCAUAUUCAUGCAAUGUAAGUUGCUUGCAUCAGUUGCAUAUUCAAUACUUUUAAAAAAUGUUUUUGAUUUUAAUCUGUUUCUAUUCUUAUGAUUCUGCUAUAAUUUUCGGAUAUGGGUUAAAAAAAAUAGCAGGGAAGAUUAGCAGGUGCUGUUAAAUGCAGGAAAAAAAAGGAUAAUGUCGGUUCCAACCGGUCCAAAACCGGAACAUACCGUAUUAAACAGGUCCAGACCGGGACCGGACCGACUGAUUAUGGUCCGGUCCCCGGUCCUUAAAAAAUGCUUAUUUCAGGUUUCGGUCCCGGUCCGGUUUUGGACCGGUGCACAGCCCUAGUUGUACUUUAAAAUGCUUGUGGUCAUUGGCUGAUAUCAAAGAGACCCUCUGGGAAAACUCUUGGCGCAUAGGCUCUAUGUAUUAAAAAUGCAAAUAAAAUGACUUUUUGUAAAUAUUGGGAACCUGAAGGUGAAAAAUAUAAUGACAAAAAGUACCAUAAUAUGCAUAAUAAUACAUUAAAAAUACUAUUCAAACAACUUAUAUUUUAAUAGUACAUUAUACAUGUAUAAUAGUACACAAAAAUGUACCACUGUACUAAAACAAGCGAGAAAAUGUACCACAAAAUCCCAUAUUGCCUUUCUAUGUGUAUGCCAAAUAUAUAGGCCGUAUGCGUCUAGAUGCACUCUCUGUGUUUAAUAGACUGAUACCCGAUCUCUUAUUUAGUUGUAAGGUAGUUAGCCCAAACCAAGAAUCCGUCCGCCCUUUUUUGUGUUUGUUGAGCCCAUGAACAACCCACAUGUGAGCAUUAUCUUGUCUCACACUCAACACUAAAGGGGGGAGUAUAGUGGUAAUGGAAUCCCACAUUAAAAGAAUUCAAGAGUUACUACCACAAUAUAAGGCUAAGGGGCUACUCUCCUCAUUGCCAUAUGGUUUUGAGGUGGAACCUCCUUGGUCUUGUGAAGUGGUGGACUUGCACUCUCUCGUGACGGGUGAGGCCCAGACCCGUAUUUAACAGUGAUAAAUCCAAAAAAGACUGCUUAUUUACAUACAAAACUUUAAUUUGUAUGUCCGGUAAUUAGUAGGGGUGAGCAUGAGACAUGUACCCAAACCACGUUAGGUAAUCGAUUAUAUCUAUAAACCGAACUGAUAAGUUUGGGUACCUGAACUUCGGAUUCGGAUUUUCGGAUCAGUUAUCGGGCACCCAAUUAGAUAUCCAAUAUGUUAUUAAACUUAAUAAAGUAGUUAUUAUAAUAUCAUUUAACACUAAUUAAUAACGAUACCACAUGAUCUUGAUCAAAUUAUUAAUAAUAUUACUAAUCGAUAUUAUAAAGUGAUUAUGAACUAAAGUAAGAGUUUAUAUAUUGGAAAAAUAGAUUUAAGUAGGAAAAAAACAAAAAUUUGUUUAUUGGAUUGAUUUAGGUAACUGUUAGUUUUAAAAUGAUAUCCAAUAACCAUACCCGAACCGUUAUGAUUAUCGGAUCGGGUUUCCUAAUUUUCGGAAUGUUUAUGGAUCGGGUUUAUGAUGGCUGUUGAUAGUCCCGGUACUCACUUUGUCCCAAUCUGUUUCUCUCAUAACUCCCAUUACAUUUUUGAGAAAAAAAAAAAAUUAUGACAAAAGUUUAUCACUAAUCCAUACUCCAUAUGAAAUAAUAUAACCUACUUCGUAUUAUGCAGCCUUCUAUAAAAAGUGCCUUAAUAAUCAAUUAAGAAAAGUUUGAAGUGGCAUUACUUGAAAAUUCUACAGUCAUUGUUAAAAAAUGACACCACAAUAUGCUGAUGUGGCGAAAUCUGAUUAGUCCAUAUUAAAUAUUUUGAUUUUUAUUUUGAAUUAAUUUUAAAGUCCAUAAUAUAUUAAAAUUGUAUUUAUAUUAUGUAUUCUUUACAUGUAUUUUUUUAAGAAAUACUUAAUCAUAAUUAUGAAAAUCCCUUUGUGUCCUUGCCUAUACACCACCAACAACUCCAAACCGGUUGCCUGCAACCCAACAACUCAUCGCUGCCGCACCACCGAGCAGCAAAACAACUACCUCCAAUCGUCGGACAACAGAGCAGCCACCAGUAGCUCUCUCACCGCUCCACCCACCGCACUGCUACAACAAUCCAGUCUGCCGCAUCCUCCAGCCCCGCACUCAAAUCACCGCCGCCCAGCUCUCAACCGCACAUCAACGCCAUUUUCAGUCACCUACGCAACUACCACCUUCAAUUCACGCCGCUUCAAUUCACCAACACUAAAACGCAGCAUCAAUUGUGACAAUUAAACCUCAAAUCAACCAACAAUUACAUCAAUUCACUACCCAAUUACAAUAUAUUCGGCCUCCAAUCGUAGCAACAACCGCCACCUUCAAUUCACGCUCCACUAACAACACCAAAACACAGCACCAAUUGCAACUAAUAGAACUUCAAUCCACCGUUAAUUACAUCAAUUUGCCACCUAAUUAUAACAAUUUCGUCCUCCAAUCGCAGCAACAACCACCACCUUCAAUCCACGCUUCACCAACAACACCAAAACGCAUCAGCUAUUGCGACAAUUAGAACCUCUAAUCCACCAUCAAUUACAACAAUUUCGACCUUCAAUAGCAACAACUAUUUCAAAUUGUGCUCCAAUUGAAGACCUAGAAGGUUCGCUCAUGGAAGAAAUUCAAAAAUAAUUUUUUGAAAUUAAAAAAAAAAAAUUAUACUGUAACUAUGUAUUUUUUAAAAAUAUACAUGUAUUUGUAAUAAUACAUACACGUAUAGUAUAAUUUGUCUUUUAAAAAUAAAUGAAAUUUUGACCAACCAUAACAUGCCACGUCAGCAUGUUAUGGUGUCAUUUUUUGAAAAAUGACACAUUAGAAUCAAACCUGGGCACGGGCCGGGUUGGCCCGCGUGCCGCCCGGCACGACCCGAAUUCAAGCACGACACGGCACGAAGUUCAACUCCCGUGCCACGGACAGGGUUGAGAAUUCCCAGGCACGGCCCGACACGAGCACAGGCAUGGCCCGCCGUGCUGGCCCGCAGGCACGGAACGCAGGCACGGCCCGGAACGGCUCGCGGGCCAACGGUAAUGUUACCGUUUAUUCUAGCUCCUUAAUAAGCCAAAAAAACGGCUA
Long non-coding RNA from Chenopodium quinoa (quinoa), 3653 nucleotides. RefSeq lists it as uncharacterized. The transcript has 2 exons. The record is from RefSeq and is a predicted model, not a curated record. Lineage: Eukaryota; Viridiplantae; Streptophyta; Magnoliopsida; Caryophyllales; Amaranthaceae.